AACGUAGGAGACAAACGUUAUCCGGAGUUACUGGGCGUAAAGGGCGUGUAGGUGGUAUCGUAAGUCUGGCGUGAAAUUUCUCGGCUUAACCGAGGCAGGUCGUCGGAUACUGCGAGGCUAGAGGACGGUAGAGGCGUGUGGAAUUCCGGGCGUAGUGGUGAAAUGCGUAGAGAUCCGGAGGAACACCAGUGGCGAAGGCGACACGCUGGGCCGUACCUGACACUGAUGCGCGACAGCAUGGGGAGCAAACAGG
This 253-nucleotide ribosomal RNA is filed under the name uncultured bacterium. RNAcentral describes it as "partial 16S ribosomal RNA". It matches the Rfam family "Bacterial small subunit ribosomal RNA", at positions 524 to 776 of the family's 1533-position model. The record is from RNAcentral.